GAAAGCCUGUUGAAACUAUCAACACUCCUGGAUGCAACCCAGACACUCUAAUUAAGCUAAGACCUC
Molecule: transfer RNA, 66 nt
Filed under: Kinyongia vosseleri
Lineage: Eukaryota; Metazoa; Chordata; Lepidosauria; Squamata; Chamaeleonidae
Description: transfer RNA-Ala
Source: RNAcentral